Molecule: long non-coding RNA, 2301 nt
Organism: Harpia harpyja (harpy eagle)
Lineage: Eukaryota; Metazoa; Chordata; Aves; Accipitriformes; Accipitridae
Exons: 3
Source: RefSeq, a predicted model, not a curated record
CUCACAGCGAGGAUGUGAAAAUAAAUUCUUGAAUGAGAAUGGAGCUCUCAGGUUUGCCUCGAUUGUUCAGGUCCAUUUGAGGUCUACAGAACAAGCCAAAGCCCACGCCAGAAGUCAGUGGCAGAAGGCUCAACCACUAAGAUUAAAAUUUCCGUCUCCAGCUCUUUUUGAAUGGUUUGCAUGACCUUUCUGACAGGAGCGUAUACAGCCAGCUACUUGCUGCAUGGGGAAUGGGGAUCUCCUGCUUAAUGGAAAUGCUGAAAUCCAGCCUGUGUGUGCGUGGGGAGAUGCUUGAGGGUUUCAAAGGAACAAACCCAGAUGGGGGACGGUGGGCACUGCCCUGCGGUACCCCACACCGUGGGCUGCAAAGGGUGGGUCACUGGAGUCACUGGAAUGGGAUCAUGCUGAUAUGCCCACGCUGCGCUGUAUCACCUGGGGUUGGGAUGUCCCGGGCCGGCCCUGAGCAUCCCUGUGAAGCACAUCAGCUGCUCAGAGAAGAAGAGAUAAGGAACCGGUGAGAGUUCGCUGAUAAGCCCAUGGGGUGGGGAAGUGGGAUCUGGCUGAACUUCUGCAGGAUGUUUAUCACAGUCUGUGGCACAUAAAAGCAGCCAAAUUGCUUCCAAGAUCUAAGCCAGAUAUGGAAACAAGUCAGGUGCUUUUCGCGCGGUGCUGCAUUUAUAGGAGCAACUCAGCAGCUUCAGCCCGGGGCUGCCUCUGCAGUGGGUGAUGACCUCCCAGAGUCUUUGCAGCUUUUGUAGCAGGUUACUCCCCUGCUUGGCCAUCGGUUGCCCACAGCUGCCGGUGAGCUGACUACAAGCCCCUCUUCCAUCUGGAUGCCUCUUGUAAUGGAUGCUUUCCAACUAGAUAGAUACAAACCUGCUAGUGUGGUGUUAUCAAGCAUAAAAGAGAGCUACCCAAUAGAAAUUAUACACUCACUGCCACCUUUUCCAUUUUUAGCAUUAUAAAACACAGGCAGUUAUCCACAUCAUAAAAAGGAGGAAAAUAUUACCAAUAUUACUGCAGUAUAAGUUUAUGUUUCUGUAUUAAUGCUAUGGGUGAAUAUUUUUUCACGUAUCUAAAGCAUAGUUAAAUUGUGGAACUCAUUCCAAUAGGAAGUUACAGAAACCACAAAUAUAGAUGACUUAAUAAUGUCAAAUUUAUGACUCAGAGGCUCAUCAGUGCCUGUUAAGUAUCUGGAUCCAAAUGUAAACUCCAGCUAAGCAUGUUCCUAAACUUGAAACUACUAGAAAUGGAGGUGUUCUUGUGAAAGAAACAUUGUGUAAUUGCUUUGCUUUUAAUUAGCUUUGCUUAAGCUGACAUCUCUGAUACCAGACACUAGACUAGAUGGAGACUCACUCUGACUGAGUAGAAUUUGAAAUAUUUGACCUCCCUCUCACAUAAUAACUUAUCUCUUUCCAAAUGUCAUAUAAGACAUACUUGCUAGCAAUGUUCAGUAUGUGCUUCCAGGUGAUACCAAGUAGGAUUUACUGAAGAGACAUUUUUGCCCGUGUAACGUUUUCAAAGGGAUUUUAGUGAGAUGGCUGUGGGGACUGAGUUUGGUUAGCAUCAUUCAAAAGUUUGGUCACUGGCUUUUUUUCUCAUUUGUCCAGGAUAAAGACUGAACUCAUGCCAGCUGAGAUCAGUACCCUUCAGAAAGUGGUGUCUGAGACCUUGCUGUGCUAUGAAGAGAUAUAGAGUCCACAAUACCUAGCUCUGGAAAAGCACAGUCUGGAUUUGAGAAGAUCUUGCAAGGGUUAGUAGAAGACAGUGGAAAAUGGACUUCAAUUUCUCUAAACCUGUAUUAUGCUCUUAUAGGGAAAAUAAGACUGCAGUGACAAAGUCCUGGAGAAGGGCUUUUCCUGCACCACCUUUGGGGGCCCAAGGGGGUCUUCCACCACCGACACAUUUGUUAGGCUGCAACAUCAUAGAGCUGGAGAAGGCUUGGGUCUGACCUGGCAAGUAAGUGGUCCUCCUCUUCCUCAGAGGGUCUGCCAAGUCCUGUUCUGCUCUCUAUGCAAGCCCAGGGUGAUGUUUUUGGGGAUGAUCCAAGCCGUCCUCAUGUCUUAAAUUUAUUUUGCCAGUGAUGCAAUGGGAAGCUCAAAACUCCUUGGAUCCCCUUCCCAUCGAUGGCUGAAACUAGAAAACCUACUGAAAAUCCCAUCUUAUUUUCCCCAGUUGUGAGCUGAGGUGCUCCACAGUGACUUGAUGCAGACAGGUUAAUGCUCACAUGCCAGUUAAUGUACCCUGGGUGGAAACACUGCCUUUGCUGUGUGCUGUGCUCUGGUACCCACUUGCACAUAC